This 303-nucleotide ribosomal RNA is filed under the name uncultured Sphingomonas sp. Its description in RNAcentral is "bacterial SSU rRNA". It matches the Rfam family "Bacterial small subunit ribosomal RNA", at positions 108 to 428 of the family's 1533-position model. The record is from RNAcentral. Lineage: Bacteria; Pseudomonadati; Pseudomonadota; Alphaproteobacteria; Sphingomonadales; Sphingomonadaceae.
GCGUAACGCGUGGGAAUCUGCCCUCUGGUACGGAAUAACUCAGGGAAACUUGAGCUAAUACCGUAUAAUGACUCCGGUCCAAAGAUUUAUCGCCUGAGGAUGAGCCCGCGUCGGAUUAGCUAGUUGGUGAGGUAAAAGCUCACCAAGGCGACGAUCCGUAGCUGGUUUGAGGGGAUGAUCAGCCACACUGGGACUGAGACACGGCCCAGACUCCUACGGGAGGCAGCAGUGGGGAAUACUGGACAAUGGGCGCAAGCCUGAUCCAGCAAUGCCGCGUGAGUGAUGAAGGCCUUAGGGUUGUAA